RNAcentral lists this ribosomal RNA (372 nucleotides) under uncultured organism. RNAcentral describes it as "bacterial SSU rRNA". It matches the Rfam family "Bacterial small subunit ribosomal RNA", at positions 526 to 896 of the family's 1533-position model. The record is from RNAcentral.
CAGAGGUCCCGAGCGUUGUUCGGAUUCACUGGGCGUAAAGGGUGCGUAGGUGGUGUGGCAAGUUUGAUGUGAAGUCUCCGGGCUUAACCCGGAAAAUGCAUUGAAUACUGCCAGGCUGGAGGGUUGGAGGGGGGACUGGAAUUCUCGGUGUAGCAGUGAAAUGCGUAGAUAUCGAGAGGAACACCAGUGGCGAAGGCGAGUCCCUGGACAACACCUGACACUGAGGCACGAAAGCUAGGGGAGCAAACAGGAUUAGAUACCCUGGUAGUCCUAGCCCUAAACGGUGCACGUUUGCUGUAAGAGGAAUCGACCCCUUUUGUGGCGAAGCUAACGCGAUAAACGUGCCGCCUGGGGAGUACGGUCGCAAGAUUA